Molecule: long non-coding RNA, 1311 nt
Organism: Astatotilapia calliptera (eastern happy)
Lineage: Eukaryota; Metazoa; Chordata; Actinopteri; Cichliformes; Cichlidae
Source: Ensembl
UUUCACAGUUGUACUACAGAUCGAAGAUCCAUCUGCUAGUAACCAAAGCAACCUCGCACGGAUGCUUGUGGUGUAUCAUCGCCACGACCUGCAAUAAAUACUAACCAGCUGUUAGGAUUAUGCAUUUUUCUUAGUGCCCUGGGAUCCCCGGGGGGGUUGCCGACCAGUCUGUAGUCCUCAUGAGGCCUUAUUUGAUAAAUUAAUAUAAACUCUUUUAUUUUAAAAUAUUUUCCGAUGGAAAAAACUGAGAUAUAAUGGCCUUUGAAGAUAGUGGAAGUCUGAUUUUUUUAAGCUUUUGACGUCUCCUCGCUGGCUGGUCCUUCUCUGUGCACUGCUGACACCUUUAUAUGAAAACUCAAAACACUGUUAUUAAAAAAAACAAGCGAUAAAAAAUUAUCAAAGCUAUUCCUUUAAAACACAGAAGGAGAUACUGGCCAUUACAGCGUCCACCUGUCCUCCAUUAUAUAUAACAUUAUGCUUCACCUCUUCUCCAAAAUUUCAAAGUGGACAUUUCUCUGUAAUGUGCGAUGGCCCCGCUCCAAUCCUGAGUACUGUAUUAUCGUGUGCUGUUGUACAUCAUUCAUGUGUUCACCGAGGGAAUCCCACGGCACGGUGUUGUGUUACUGUGUAAUACAUCACACUGCAGCAAUGACACGCUGUCAUUUCUACUAUUGGUACAAUGAAAGUAGAUGCUAAACACUACCAUGCUGUUAGAAACACAGCAGUGUUUUAGUUGUUUUGAUGUGGGAGUUUUUUUCCCUGGAAAUAUUGAAACUGACAGCGUCUGGAGAGUGUAGUGUGAGUGUAAAGGCUCAAGGUGUGUUCAGGCUAUUUGCUGCAUUCCUCAUUUCAUUCCUGGUAUGCCUAAUGAUGAUGACUGGACUGCUUUCUGCAAUAAAAGAAGAUAACCUUCAGAAACUCUCUUUCUUUUUUUUCUUUUUUUAGUGCAUUGUUUAAUGAUGUGUUUAUGAUAUUUGCUUGUACCCAGAGCUGUAAAGGACAGUCUUUCUACGAAGUCCCCCGUCCACCACAUCCUCCUAAUUUCAGAUGCACAUAAUUAUGCUUUUCCUUUGAAUGGCUUGACACAAUCUUCCAGGAGGUUUGCGAUCAAAGUGGACAGCUCAGACAUGUGAUUGAGCAUUGUCAGACUAAUUGCUGUUGGUAUACUUCCUGAAUGCAUAAUAGACAUAGAUACAUGUGACUUAUCAUGGCGAUCUGGGUGCUUUAUAGUUGUCUCGUAAUUAGUUGGGGGACUUUCUUUUAUGAGUACCCGAGGGAGAUAAUUACGAUGAUGAGAUUCCGUGACGAUAA